This 484-nucleotide ribosomal RNA is filed under the name uncultured bacterium. RNAcentral's name for it is "partial 16S ribosomal RNA". It matches the Rfam family "Bacterial small subunit ribosomal RNA", at positions 30 to 507 of the family's 1533-position model. The record is from RNAcentral.
AUUGAACGCUGGCGGCAGGCCUAACACAUGCAAGUCGAGCGGAUGAAGGGAGCUUGCUCCUGGAUUCAGCGGCGGACGGGUGAGUCAUGCCUAGGAAUCUGCCUGGUAGUGGGGGAUAACGUCCGGAAACGGGCGCUAAUACCGCAUACGUCCUGAGGGAGAAAGUGGGGGAUCUUCGGACCUCACGCUAUCAGAUGAGCCUAGGUCGGAUUAGCUAGUUGGUGGGGUAAAGGCCUACCAAGGCGACGAUCCGUAACUGGUCUGAGAGGAUGAUCAGUCACACUGGAACUGAGACACGGUCCAGACUCCUACGGGAGGCAGCAGUGGGGAAUAUUGGACAAUGGGCGAAAGCCUGAUCCAGCCAUGCCGCGUGUGUGAAGAAGGUCUUCGGAUUGUAAAGCACUUUAAGUUGGGAGGAAGGGCAGUAAGUUAAUACCUUGCUGUUUUGACGUUACCAACAGAAUAAGCACCGGCUAACUUCGUG